This 406-nucleotide ribosomal RNA is filed under the name uncultured bacterium. Its description in RNAcentral is "partial 16S ribosomal RNA". It matches the Rfam family "Bacterial small subunit ribosomal RNA", at positions 30 to 526 of the family's 1533-position model. The record is from RNAcentral.
AUUGAACGCUGGCGGCAGGCCUAACACAUGCAAGUCGAGCGCGCGGCGGACGGGUGAGUAAUGUAUGGGGAUCUGCCCGAUAGAGGGGGAUAACUACUGGAAACUGUGGCUAAUACCGCAUACUAUCGGGUGACCCCAUAUGGGAUUAGCUAGUAGGUGGGGUAAAGGCUCACCUAGGCGACGAUCUCUAGCUGGUCUGAGAGUAUGAUCAGCCACACUGGGACUGAGACACGGCCCAGACUCCUACGGGAGGCAGCAGUGGGGAAGAUUGCACAAUGGGCGCAAGCCGGAUGCAGCCAUGCCGCGUGUAUGAAGAAGGCCUUCGGGUUGUAAAGUACUUUCAGUCGGGAGGCGUUACCGACAGAAGAAGCACCGGCUAACUCCGUGCCAGCAGCCGCGGUAAUAC